AUGGGGAGGACUGCAACUGUGCUUGUCCGUGGGUCCAACCAGUUGGUUAUUGAUGAAGCUGAUCGCAGUCUCCAUGAUGCCCUAUGUGUCAUCAGGUGCUUGGUGAACAAGAGGUUUUUAAUUGCCGGUGGCGGUGCUCCAGAAAUAGAAAUGUCAAUGCAACUGGCUGCUUGGUCAAAGGAGCUCCACGGGAUGGAGAGUUACUGCAUCAAGGAGUUUGCUGAUGCACUUGAGGUCAUCCCUUACACAUUGGCUGAGAAUGCAGGGCUCAACCCAGGCCAAUCGCCAUUGUUACCGAACUAA
This 303-nucleotide ribosomal RNA is filed under the name Triticum aestivum (bread wheat). RNAcentral describes it as "partial small subunit ribosomal RNA". The record is from RNAcentral. Lineage: Eukaryota; Viridiplantae; Streptophyta; Magnoliopsida; Poales; Poaceae.